GCUGGGCGUGGUGGCACGUGCCUGUAAUCCCAGCUACUUGGGAGGCCGAGGCAGGAGAAUUGCUUGAGCCAGGGAGUUGGAGGUUUCAGUGAGCCAAGAUCAUGCCACUGCACUCUAGUCUGGCGACAGAACAAGACUCCAUCUCAAAAAAAAAAAAUUUUUUUUAUUUAUUUUGAGAUGGAGUCUCACUCUGUCACUCAGGCUGGAAUGCAGUGGCACGCUCUUGGCUCACUACAACCUCCGUCUCCCGGGUUGAAGUGAUUCUUCUGCCUGA
This 274-nucleotide small RNA is filed under the name Pongo abelii (Sumatran orangutan). The record is from RNAcentral. Lineage: Eukaryota; Metazoa; Chordata; Mammalia; Primates; Hominidae.